ACACGUAGGGGCCUGACGUUGUUCGGAAUCAUUGGGCGUAAAGGGCGCGCAGGCGGCCGUCCAAGUCCGGUGUUAAAUGGUCGGGCUCAACCCGAUCAUGCGCUGGAAACUGGGCGGCUUGAGUCCCGUAGGGGAUGCCGGAAUUCCAGGUGUAGGGGUGAAAUCUGUAGAUAUCUGGAAGAACACCGAUGGCGAAGGCAGGCAUCUGGCCGGAGACUGACGCUGAGGCGCGAAGGCGCGGGGAGCGAACAGGUUUAGAUACCCUGGUAGUCCGCGCAGUAAACGAUGCGCACCAGGUGUCGGGCGGCAGCGCCCGGUACCGGAGCUAGCGCGAUGAGUGCGCCGCCUGGGGAGUAUGCCCGCAAGGGUGAAACUCAAAUGAAUUGACGGGG
This 392-nucleotide ribosomal RNA is filed under the name uncultured bacterium. RNAcentral's name for it is "partial 16S ribosomal RNA". It matches the Rfam family "Bacterial small subunit ribosomal RNA", at positions 523 to 918 of the family's 1533-position model. The record is from RNAcentral.